This is an RNA transcript of Gigantopelta aegis, 1374 nucleotides long. It is a transcript of the gene named fatty acid 2-hydroxylase-like, with no coding region annotated. NCBI's taxonomy places the organism in Eukaryota, Metazoa, Mollusca, Gastropoda, Neomphalida, Peltospiridae. The transcript is spliced from 3 exons. The record is from RefSeq and is a predicted model, not a curated record.
GCGAUUUGAGCUAAGAUGAAGCAGGACGUGUGCGCUUGCUCUCUCGAGCUACCCCCCCCCCCCCCACCUGGGGGGACUCAUUGCUUCUUACGGAGUGUUAUUGGAGUACCGCGUCACGUACACCGGGCCACGGGCAACCGUGACCUUGGUGUACGGUGAACCAGCGAGAAAGCCACCUAGGAGGAGAAGGAGGAGGAAGACGGACGCGCCAGGGGCGGACCGGGGGAGGUCAAAACCGGUAGCUCAACUACCGGCGGCGACUUCUUCUGUUGUACGCCCCAAGCCCCAGUCUACACCAGCGAGACCAGCUGUUACAGCCCUGCUGGAUCCAGAUGUUGACUUGCCAGUGGCGAAGCCGGACACGGACCUUAACCGGGCCCUGAUGGAAUCGCCCCCCACAUCUCCGAAGCCUUCAGCCUCCGGGUUUCCAGCGAUGCCACCCCCACCCAGGAAGAGUGGCGCUGUAGAAACCCAGGCCCGUCUUGUGGCCGUUGGAAAACGAAAGGCGGUUGUGUCCCCAGGCGACCAACCAGACAAGCCAAGUCCGCCGACUCAACCGCCUACACCAACUUCACCGCCGAUAGAUGAUCCGACCAUCGGCCAGCCUUGGACAUUACAGUCUGGCAAGCUACCAUCGCGCUACACAAGGCUGGUCAAGACCAACAUCGGGGAUGUCCGUCGGCUCCUUUGUGAACCUGGUCCGGAGACCUACGAACCUCUGCCCCUAACGGAAGGAGAGUUUUCGGUGCGGAGGAUUACUAUGAAAGAUGGGAGAGGGAUCUGCCUUACUGUCCGCCGGAGGGGACUUUUCCACCAAGGGAUGCUUCUCGAUGAAAUGGACAACCCGACCAUCCACCGUGUCAUCAAGACCGUUGCCGGGGAAGAUUACCGUCCAAUCACCGAGAACAUCGCCAAGUCCACAUACCGGCAAGCCCUCCACCAUCUGGAUUCGUCCCUCUUCAUCAGCUCUCCUUGACGACAUCCCCUCUACCAACCUCCUUUGCCUCCGAUGACCAAGUAGACUGGGAUAAGCCAAUCCUUGACCAGAUUCCGUCGCUAGGAGACAAGUACUUCGAGUGGGUUCACAAGCCCGUCAAGCGGCCGCUGCGGCUCUUCCACUCGGACUUCAUGGAGUUCUUCUCCAAGUGUCCGUGGUGGCUGGUUCCGGUCGUCUGGUUCCCCGUCAUCUGUCUGCUGCUGCACCACGCCUACACCAACCUGGCCCUGCAGCCCGAAGUCUGGCUCGGUUCGCUGGCUGGAGGGUAUCUAGUCUUCACAGUUUCAAGCAUCUUGAACAGGUAUGGUGGAGCAGGAAGGACUGUGGGGCUUUAGUUCCCACACACACACCUCACCCUUCUCAAUAAUUUGGAAUAA